CCUUCGAUAGCUCAGUUGGUAGAGCGGAGGACUGUAGUGGAAUCUCUUCGGGCAUCCUUAGGUCGCUGGUUCGAAUCCGGCUCGAAGGA
This 89-nucleotide transfer RNA is filed under the name Callithrix jacchus (white-tufted-ear marmoset). It matches the Rfam family "tRNA". Rfam says of the family: Transfer RNA (tRNA) molecules are approximately 80 nucleotides in length. Their secondary structure includes four short double-helical elements and three loops (D, anti-codon, and T loops). Further hydrogen bonds mediate the characteristic L-shaped molecular structure. tRNAs have two regions of fundamental functional importance: the anti-codon, which is responsible for specific mRNA codon recognition, and the 3' end, to which the tRNAs corresponding amino acid is attached (by aminoacyl-tRNA synthetases). tRNAs cope with the degeneracy of the genetic code in two manners: having more than one tRNA (with a specific anti-codon) for a particular amino acid; and 'wobble' base-pairing, i.e. permitting non-standard base-pairing at the 3rd anti-codon position. Lineage: Eukaryota; Metazoa; Chordata; Mammalia; Primates; Cebidae. The record is from Rfam by way of RNAcentral.